RNAcentral lists this ribosomal RNA (205 nucleotides) under uncultured bacterium. RNAcentral describes it as "partial 16S ribosomal RNA". It matches the Rfam family "Bacterial small subunit ribosomal RNA", at positions 568 to 772 of the family's 1533-position model. The record is from RNAcentral.
CGUGUAGGCGGGAAGGAAAGUCAGAUGUGAAAUCCCCAGGCUCAACCUGGGAACUGCAUUUGAAACUCCCUUUCUUGAGUACCGGAGAGGAAAGUGGAAUUCCUGGUGUAGAGGUGAAAUUCGUAGAUAUCAGGAGGAACACCAGUGGCGAAGGCGGCUUUCUGGACGGUAACUGACGCUGAGACGCGAAAGCGUGGGGAGAACA